RNAcentral lists this microRNA precursor (118 nucleotides) under Callithrix jacchus (white-tufted-ear marmoset). RNAcentral describes it as "microRNA cja-mir-548s precursor". Its record names the gene cja-mir-548s. Lineage: Eukaryota; Metazoa; Chordata; Mammalia; Primates; Cebidae. The record is from miRBase by way of RNAcentral.
GGAACUUCGAUUAGACUUUGUAUUAGGUUAGUGCAAAAGUCGUUGAAGUUUUUGCCAUUACUUUUAACGGCAAUGACUUUUGCACCAACCUAAUACUAAUUCAUAAUACAUGAGUUUC